This 495-nucleotide ribosomal RNA is filed under the name uncultured bacterium. RNAcentral's name for it is "partial 16S ribosomal RNA". It matches the Rfam family "Bacterial small subunit ribosomal RNA", at positions 28 to 505 of the family's 1533-position model. The record is from RNAcentral.
GAUGAACGCUGGCGGCGUGCCUAAUACAUGCAAGUCGAGCGAACGGACGAGAAGCUUGCUUCUCUGAUGUUAGCGGCGGACGGGUGAGUAACACGUGGAUAACCUACCUAUAAGACUGGGAUAACUUCGGGAAACCGGAGCUAAUACCGGAUAAUAUUUUGAACCGCAUGGUUCAAAAGUGAAAGACGGUCUUGCUGUCACUUAUAGAUGGAUCCGCGCUGCAUUAGCUAGUUGGUAAGGUAACGGCUUACCAAGGCAACGAUGCAUAGCCGACCUGAGAGGGUGAUCGGCCACACUGGAACUGAGACACGGUCCAGACUCCUACGGGAGGCAGCAGUAGGGAAUCUUCCGCAAUGGGCGAAAGCCUGACGGAGCAACGCCGCGUGAGUGAUGAGGGUCUUCGGAUCGUAAAACUCUGUUAUUAGGGAAGAACAUAUGUGUAAGUAACUGUGCACAUCUUGACGGUACCUAAUCAGAAAGCCACGGCUAACUACG